GUGUCAGCCGCCGCGGUAAAACGUAGGAGGCAAGCGUUAUCCGGAUUUACUGGGCGUAAAGCGCGUGCAGGUGGUCGUAUAAGUGGUGCGUGAAAGCUCCGAGGCUAAACCCGGAGAGGUCGUGCCAGACUGUAGGACUGGAGGGAGACAGAGGCAAGUAGAAUUCCGGGUGUAGUGGUGAAAUGCGUAGAGAUCCGGAGGAAUACCAGAGGCGAAGGCGACUUGCCAGGUCUCACCUGACACUCAGACGCGAAAGCAUGGGGAGCGAACGGGAUUAGAAACCCCAGUAGUCC
RNAcentral lists this ribosomal RNA (293 nucleotides) under uncultured bacterium. Its description in RNAcentral is "partial 16S ribosomal RNA". It matches the Rfam family "Bacterial small subunit ribosomal RNA", at positions 505 to 796 of the family's 1533-position model. The record is from RNAcentral.